AUUGAACGCUGGCGGCAUGCCUUACACAUGCAAGUCGAACGGUAACAGGUCUUCGGAUGCUGACGAGUGGCGAACGGGUGAGUAAUACAUCGGAACGUGCCUAGUAGUGGGGGAUAACUACUCGAAAGAGUGGCUAAUACCGCAUGAGAUCUAAGGAUGAAAGCAGGGGAGCGCAAGACCUUGUGCUACUAGAGCGGCCGAUGGCAGAUUAGGUAGUUGGUGGGAUAAAAGCUUACCAAGCCGACGAUCUGUAGCUGGUCUGAGAGGACGAUCAGCCACACUGGGACUGAGACACGGCCCAGACUCCUACGGGAGGCAGCAGUGGGGAAUUUUGGACAAUGGGCGCAAGCCUGAUCCAGCAAUGCCGCGUGCAGGAUGAAGGCCUUCGGGUUGUAAACUGCUUUUGUACGGAACGAAAAGCCCCGGGUUAAUACCCUGGGGUCAUGACGGUACCGUAAGAAUAAGCACCGGCUAACUACGUGCCAGCAGCCGCAGUAA
This 498-nucleotide ribosomal RNA is filed under the name uncultured bacterium. Its description in RNAcentral is "partial 16S ribosomal RNA". It matches the Rfam family "Bacterial small subunit ribosomal RNA", at positions 30 to 523 of the family's 1533-position model. The record is from RNAcentral.